This 229-nucleotide ribosomal RNA is filed under the name uncultured bacterium. RNAcentral's name for it is "partial 16S ribosomal RNA". It matches the Rfam family "Bacterial small subunit ribosomal RNA", at positions 568 to 796 of the family's 1533-position model. The record is from RNAcentral.
UGCGUAGGCGGGCUAAUAAGUCAGUGGUGAAAUAUUCCGGCUCAACCGGGAGACUGCCAUUGAUACUGUUAGUCUUGAGUUCGGCUGAGGUAGGCGGAAUGUGUAAUGUAGCGGUGAAAUGCUUAGAUAUUACACAGAACACCAAUUGCGUAGGCAGCUUACUAGACCGACACUGACGCUGAGGCACGAAAGCGUGGGGAGCGGACAGGAUUAGAUACCCUGGUAGUCC